AGACCUUUCGGAGUGGUUGAUUAUCACAUCAUGCUGCAUAAGAAGUCAUGCAAUAAUGAAAAUAGCAUGCAUGUUGGACCACUUACUGAAUAUUUGGCGCACAAAAUAUAUGAGAUUGCAUCAGAUGCUAUAAACCUUGAAAUCUUGAAAAACUUAGCCGAGGGCUAGUUCCUCCAUUAUGAAAAAUUCUUGUCCAACCAAAGGUGUGGCAAGGAGGCGACAGCAUGAAUACGUGUAGGCAUCAUAUAUGCAUUCAGCUCGUGAGUUAACCACAC
This 275-nucleotide long non-coding RNA is filed under the name Elaeis guineensis (African oil palm). Its description in RNAcentral is "long non-coding RNA (EGUI_LNC020517)". The record is from RNAcentral. Lineage: Eukaryota; Viridiplantae; Streptophyta; Magnoliopsida; Arecales; Arecaceae.